Schistocerca gregaria is the source of this 782-nucleotide long non-coding RNA. RefSeq lists it as uncharacterized. The transcript has 2 exons. The record is from RefSeq and is a predicted model, not a curated record. Lineage: Eukaryota; Metazoa; Arthropoda; Insecta; Orthoptera; Acrididae.
UUGUAUGUCUUUAUCUCUGUGACAAGGGACUGUUCAUAUCGGUAAACAUAAACGCUAUACCGUGUGUGCUAACUUGUUUGCUUUGUGUUGUUUAGCUGUUCAGUUUUGCCUAUUUGACGAAUUAUGCUAGUAGGUGUUUUACAUAUUUAGUUUGUGGAUAUCAAUAUGCCCCGUUUUAGCAAUCGAGUGUUUAAGGAAAGGCACAAUGAGUGGAAGAAGAAAUCUUGUUGUUUCGAAGGGAGAUGCUGCUCAGACUGCUUCACUGACUACUCUAAAUGAAUGUGAUAGAACUUCUUCCAGCAAGAAACUGUGUGACAGCAAAGAAAAAUUUGAAAACUAUGAAAGUGUCAGUAAUGAUGUGAAUGAAGUAAUUAACGUUUCCUUGCUCUCUAACAUUUUGAAACAUAAUGUAUCAUGCCAAGUUUGCAAAGAAAGAGGACUGGGAUUGAAAAUAACUUCACACAUUUGUUUGGCAUUUAAAAUGUUAUUGAAGUGUAACAAAUUUAUUUAGUCCUUCAAAUCCUCUAUGUAUAGAAUAUAUACAAGGAUAUUGGACAUGGUUAGGUAUUUACAAGAUAAAAAUACAGUUUGUAUUGCAAUGCUAAGGACUAGAUAGUUAGGUAAUUUAGCACAGCUUCUUAAAUACAACAAACAUCACAGGCAACAUACAAAAUAGAAUAUUAAUAAUGCAUCUUUAUUUUUGUUGUUUGGCUUUUAUUUAUUCUGUCAGACUGUAAAAGCAAUGAUCAAUUAAAUAUGCGUUUGCUUCAGCCUUAAAACUA